AACGAACGCUGGCGGCAUGCCUAACACAUGCAAGUCGAACGAAGCCUUCGGGCUUAGUGGCGCACGGGUGCGUAACGCGUGGGAAUCUGCCCUUGGGUUCGGAAUAACAGUUAGAAAUUUGUGCUAAUACCGGAUAAUGUCUUCGGACCAAAGAUUUAUCGCCUUUGGAUGGGCCCGCGUAGGAUUAGCUAGUUGGUGAGGUAAAGGCUCACCAAGGCGACGAUCCUUAGCUGGUCUUAGAGGAUGAUCAGCCACACUGGGACUGAGACACGGCCCAGACUCCUACGGGAGGCAGCAGUGGGGAAUAUUGGACAAUGGGCGAAAGCCUGAUCCAGCAAUGCCGCGUGAGUGAUGAAGGCCUUAGGGUUGUAAAGCUCUUUUACUGGGGAUGAUAAUGACAGUACCCAGAGAAUAAGCCCCGGCUAACUCCGUGCCAGCAGCCGCCGCUG
This 449-nucleotide ribosomal RNA is filed under the name uncultured bacterium. RNAcentral's name for it is "partial 16S ribosomal RNA". It matches the Rfam family "Bacterial small subunit ribosomal RNA", at positions 29 to 523 of the family's 1533-position model. The record is from RNAcentral.